RNAcentral lists this long non-coding RNA (258 nucleotides) under Gossypium barbadense (sea-island cotton). Its description in RNAcentral is "long non-coding RNA (GBAR_LNC013546)". The record is from RNAcentral. Lineage: Eukaryota; Viridiplantae; Streptophyta; Magnoliopsida; Malvales; Malvaceae.
UGAUCGAUAAGUCUUGAACACAAAAUAAUUAAAAUAGGAUAAUUAAAUCCUUAAAGAAGAUAGGAGAGAUUGAAAGGGGAAAGAAAGAAAGAAAGAAAAACUAAAUUCUGGCAGAAAACGAUGAUGACGACGGUGGUCCGGCAAUGGUCACGAUGAGGUGAGAAAAAUAUAAAAAAAGGGGAAGAGGUUUCGGUUACAAAGUGAAGAGAAAAGAGAAAAGAAAAUGAGUGGAGAAAGGUUUUCCCAUGGUGGUUCGCG